UACGUAGGGUGCAAGCGUUGUCCGGAAUUAUUGGGCGUAAAGAGCUCGUAGGCGGUCUGUCGCGUCUGCUGUGAAAACUCGGGGCUUAACCCCGGGCCUGCAGUGGGUACGGGCAGACUAGAGUGCGGUAGGGGAGACUGGAAUUCCUGGUGUAGCGGUGAAAUGCGCAGAUAUCAGGAGGAACACCGGUGGCGAAGGCGGGUCUCUGGGCCGAUACUGACGCUGGAGGAGCGAAAAGCGUGGGGAGCGAACAGG
RNAcentral lists this ribosomal RNA (255 nucleotides) under uncultured bacterium. RNAcentral describes it as "partial 16S ribosomal RNA". It matches the Rfam family "Bacterial small subunit ribosomal RNA", at positions 524 to 776 of the family's 1533-position model. The record is from RNAcentral.